GGCGUGGACUACCAGGGUAUCUAAUCUGUUGCUCCCUAMGSURRUCGUGCCUCAGCGUCAACUAUGGUCUAGUACCCCGCCUUCGCCUCCGGUGUUCUGUGUGAUAUCUAUGCAUUUCACCGCUACACCACACAUUCCAGGUACCCCUCCCAUGUKCUUAGUUAUACAGUAUCGCCAGCACUACUACAGUUGAGCCGUAGCCUUUCACUGACAACUUAUAUAACCGCCUACGCACCCUUUAAACCCAGUAAUUCCGAAUAACGCUUGCACCCUCCGUAUUACCGCGGCUGCUGGCACGGAGUUAGCCGGUGCUUUUUGCUAUACUACCUUCCUAUUAGUAACUCGUACUAAYYUYUAUUCKUAUAGUAAAGAAGUUUACAACCCAUAAGGCCGUCUUCCUUCACGCGGCAUGGCUGGGUCAGGCUUUCGCCCAUUGCCCAAUAUUCCCUACUGCUGCCUCCCGUAGGAGUCUGGACCGUAUCUCAGUUCCAAUGUGGGGGAUCUCUCUCUCAAAACCCCUAACCAUCUUCGCCUUGGUGAGCCCUUACCUCACCAACUAGCUAAUGGUCAGUAGGCCCAUCUCAUACCGCAUACUCUCGUAUACUUUGAUUAUAUGCCUCUAUUCAUAUAACCUCAUGGGGUAUUACCACAGAUUUCUCUAUGCUAUCCCCCUGUAUGAGGUAGGUCUCCUACCUUUUACUCACCCGUCCGCCGGUCGCCAUCAAUAUACUUGCGUAUAUCAUGCUGCCCUCAACUUGCAUGUAUUAAGCCUGCCGCUAGCGUUCAUCUGAGCCAGGAUCAA
This 802-nucleotide ribosomal RNA is filed under the name uncultured Bacteroidota bacterium. RNAcentral describes it as "uncultured Bacteroidetes bacterium partial 16S ribosomal RNA". Lineage: Bacteria; Pseudomonadati; Bacteroidota. The record is from RNAcentral.